This is a long non-coding RNA of Manis pentadactyla (Chinese pangolin), 1142 nucleotides long. RefSeq lists it as uncharacterized. The record is from RefSeq and is a predicted model, not a curated record. NCBI's taxonomy places the organism in Eukaryota, Metazoa, Chordata, Mammalia, Pholidota, Manidae. The transcript has 3 exons.
CAGGAACCAAUGAGUCUAUCUUCACGGUGCUUGUUCUCCUGCAUUACCUCGCUUGAGCUUCCCGGACACUAACAGAAGAACAGCAGCACUUUCCACUUCCAGCUGCCAGAAACCGUUUUGGGGGCCAAAGGGAGCUGUGUAUAGGAAGAGAGCAGUGAUGUUUUGGAGUUGAGGUGGGAUGCAAACAGAGCUCUCCUAACCCAUGAGAAUGAGCAACAACGGCCCCAGAACGUUCCAGAAAGGAGAGCUUCCCUGGAGUUGGGGUCUCUAUGGAAACAGGACCAGCAUUAGAGAGCUAAUCGCUAUAAAAACCCACAGAGUCCUACUCUCAGGAUACAUCGUGGAUUGCAGAAGUCUCCUAUUGCCCUUAAGAGGCUUUGGGUGGGGAACCUGAGGUUGGAGCUGGAGAGGAGCCAUCACCCUAGGCUUGGCAUUAACGGCCACAGUGAUGGACAAGAGGGAACUGCUACAACCCUGCAGGCCUGUUUGGGGCUGCUAUUAGAAAUACAGUUAUGAAAAAUUUUUGGCAUCAUAUUUUUCUUCCCUAGCAUCACAGCUGACAUAAAAAAAACAAACAAACAACCGAUCUCAACUCAGGGGGAAUGAUUUCCCCAUUCCCAAUUUUAUUUUAAUUCCUUGUUCCUUUAUUGCUUAGAGAAUUCUGCCUGGAGCCCAUGCAAGUCAGAAAAGGUGGCACCAUCCACCUGGGCUUUAGGCAGAACUGAUUCAAUAUAUCCCAGCAGAGAAGAUUUUUAUUAAAGUUACCUGCGUGCGUGCCCUCUGCCUCUUCUCAUACCACCCCCGUUGCACUGCCUCCCCUUCCACAAAGCCCCUCUGACCACAUCAGUAGGCAGUGACCUCUCCGCCCUGCUCUGAACUCGAGAGAGCUCAUUAUCUGCACCACUCACCUUGCAAUUAAUCAUGUACAGCCUCUGCCAUGGCUUCUAGUCCUCUCUCAAAGUGUUAUCCAACUUCUCACUUGUUUAUAAUUCUUGAUGAGAAUAUGAGCAAGUGGAAGGCAGAAGUCCAAUCAUCUUUAUCUUUGUGUCCUUAAGAUUACCUAGCAGAGACCUCAACACAAACAUGAUGAUGGCCUACUUAUUUAUUUUCUGAGUAGACAAUAAAUAAACAACCCCAGUCUA